Molecule: transfer RNA, 77 nt
Filed under: Rhodospirillaceae bacterium
Lineage: Bacteria; Pseudomonadati; Pseudomonadota; Alphaproteobacteria; Rhodospirillales; Rhodospirillaceae
Also listed under: 5 other names
Description: tRNA-Pro
Rfam family: tRNA
About the family: Transfer RNA (tRNA) molecules are approximately 80 nucleotides in length. Their secondary structure includes four short double-helical elements and three loops (D, anti-codon, and T loops).
Source: RNAcentral
CGGGCUGUAGCGCAGCCUGGUAGCGCGUUCGUCUGGGGGACGAGAGGUCGCGGGUUCGAACCCCGCCAGCCCGACCA